Molecule: ribosomal RNA, 446 nt
Filed under: uncultured bacterium
Lineage: Bacteria
Description: partial 16S ribosomal RNA
Rfam family: Bacterial small subunit ribosomal RNA
Source: RNAcentral
CCUACGGGAGGCAGCAGUCGAGAAUCAUUCACAAUUGGGGAAACCCUGAUGGUGCGACGCCGCGUGGGGGAAUGAAGGUCUUCGGAUUGUAAACCCCUGUCAUGUGGGAGCAAAUUAAAAAGAUAGUACCACAAGAGGAAGAGACGGCUAACUCUGUGCCAGCACCCGCGGUAAUACAGAGGUCUCAAGCGUUGUUCGGAAUCACUGGGCGUAAAGCGUGCGUAGGCUGUUUCGUAAGUCGUGUGUGAAAGGCGCGGGCUCAACCCGCGGACGGCACAUGAUACUGCGAGACUAGAGUAAGGGAGGGGGAACCGGAAUUCUCGGUGUAGCAGUGAAAUGCGUAGAUAUCGAGAGGAACACUCGUGGCGAAGGCGGGUUCCUGGACAUUAACUGACGCUGAGGCACGAAGGCCAGGGGAGCGAAAGGGAGUAGAUACCCUGGUAGUC